UACGGCCAUAUCAGUUUGAAACACCGAUUCCCGUAUGAUCACCGAAGUUAAGCAACGUCGAGCCUGGUCAGUAUCUAGAUGGAUGACCGCUUGGAAAUACCAGGUGGUGUAA
Acanthosepion pharaonis is the source of this 112-nucleotide non-coding RNA. NCBI's taxonomy places the organism in Eukaryota, Metazoa, Mollusca, Cephalopoda, Sepiida, Sepiidae. The record is from the annotation of a GenBank genome assembly.